CCUACGGGAGGCAGCAGUGAGGAAUAUUGGUCAAUGGGCGGGAGCCUGAACCAGCCAAGUCGCGUGAGGGAAGACGGUCCUAUGGAUUGUAAACCUCUUUAGCCGGGGAGCAAGGCGGGGCACGCGUGCGCGGGGGGAGAGUACCCGCAGAAGAAGCAGCGGCUAACUCCGUGCCAGCAGCCGCGGUAAUACGGAGGAUGCGAGCGUUAUCCGGAUUGAUUGGGUUGAAAGGGUGCGUAGGCGGCUUGUUAAGUCAGCGGUCAACUGUCCGGGCUCAACCCGGGCCGGCCGUUGAAACUGGGGGUCUUGAGUGGGCGAGAAGUAUGCGGAAUGCGUGGUGUAGCGGU
This 347-nucleotide ribosomal RNA is filed under the name uncultured bacterium. RNAcentral describes it as "partial 16S ribosomal RNA". It matches the Rfam family "Bacterial small subunit ribosomal RNA", at positions 338 to 682 of the family's 1533-position model. The record is from RNAcentral.